This is a long non-coding RNA of Mobula hypostoma (lesser devil ray), 930 nucleotides long. RefSeq lists it as uncharacterized. The record is from RefSeq and is a predicted model, not a curated record. The transcript is spliced from 5 exons. NCBI's taxonomy places the organism in Eukaryota, Metazoa, Chordata, Chondrichthyes, Myliobatiformes, Myliobatidae.
CGCUGGUGGACGACAUCGGCGUGUUGGAGAUGGGGCGAUGUGAGGGAGUCUUCCUCCAGCUGGAUAAGUCCUAGGACAUAGAUUGUUUUGUGUUAAAUUUUCAAUGGAAGUUUACAGAAAUUGGAUCAAUGGGCCAAGCAGACAACAGCAACAGAUUAGAUGAAUCUCAACAGUAUGGAAAUAACAAGGUAAUUUAACAUCAAUGAGCAAUCCGGGGUGCCUAGGGGCGACUGGAGUAGCAGCAGUACUCUCAAAGGAUACGAUUAAAUAUUCUGGUUUCAGCCGGAUACAGCGAAAAAGCACAACUGCUUCCAAGUUCUUCCUACACUCUACCUCUGAAUAUAUAUGUAAGAUCAUGGUUUUCAGCUCUCCACCCGACAUCUGAAUUUACUUUUGUAAAGAAGUACCAGUCUGCAAGAGAUUUUUCCGUCUCCAUGCUGCCGUUGAAAGUACCAGGGCUGCCCACCACUGAAGCACAGAGUUUCAGGAACUGUCUGCCUUGAUCUUUUCUCCAUGUUGUUUUCAGGCAAUUGAUUUGCAAAUGAACCAUUGGCCUAAUAGCCAUUUAAUUAGAAAUGAAUGCACAUAAUAGACAGCUGAAACAAAUGACCAAUCACCCAAAAUCGCAAUUAUGUUCAUGGUGAUCAUAUCGCAAAUUGAAAAAAGCACCAAUAAUAUUUAAUAGUAAAAAGAAAUAGGAGUGCAAUCUUUCCUUUUGUUUCUGCAAUUUAAUGCUGCUUUAAAAAUAUCUAUAGGUUUAACUCCUUUACAGAACUUAGUUGCUCGCAUACCAUUGAAUUGGAUUCAUAAGAAGCAGAAUAGACAUUCAAAUGGAUUUAAUCCCAUCUUUGUUUUCUCUUUCUCAUUUGGUUCCUUAUCUCAUUGCUCUCCAAAUGUUCAACUAACUGGUUGUUGUAUUAAUAAAGGUUG